RNAcentral lists this ribosomal RNA (440 nucleotides) under uncultured bacterium. RNAcentral describes it as "partial 16S ribosomal RNA". It matches the Rfam family "Bacterial small subunit ribosomal RNA", at positions 338 to 795 of the family's 1533-position model. The record is from RNAcentral.
CCUACGUGAGACAGCAGUGGGGGAUAUUGCACAAUGGGGGGAACCCUGAUGCAGCGACGCCGCGUGAGCGAUGGAGUACUUCGGUAUGUAAACUGCUGUUAGCAGGGAAGAAAAUGACGGUAUCUGACCAAUAAGCACCGGCUAAAUCCGUGCCAGCAGCCGCGGUAAUACGGAGGGGGCAAGCGUUACCCGGAUUUACUGGGAGUAAAGGGAGCGUAGGCGGCAGGGCAAGGCUGAUGUGAAAGCCCAGGGCUUAACCACGGGACUGCAUUUGAAACUGCCAUGCUGGAGUGCGGGAGGGGCAGGUGGAAUUCUUGGUGUAGGGGUAAAAUCCGUAGAGAUUAAGAGGAACACGCGUGGCGAAGGCGACCUGCUAGAAGGUGACUGACGCUGAGGCGCGAAAGCGUGGGGAGCAAACAGGAUUAGAUACCCGGGUAGUC